This 677-nucleotide ribosomal RNA is filed under the name Streptomyces sp. SCAU5215. Its description in RNAcentral is "bacterial SSU rRNA". It matches the Rfam family "Bacterial small subunit ribosomal RNA", at positions 61 to 748 of the family's 1533-position model. The record is from RNAcentral. Lineage: Bacteria; Bacillati; Actinomycetota; Actinomycetes; Kitasatosporales; Streptomycetaceae.
GUCGAACGAUGAAGCCUUUCGGGGUGGAUUAGUGGCGAACGGGUGAGUAACACGUGGGCAAUCUGCCCUUCACUCUGGGACAAGCCCUGGAAACGGGGUCUAAUACCGGAUACGACCUGCCUCCGCAUGGUGGUGGGUGGAAAGCUCCGGCGGUGAAGGAUGAGCCCGCGGCCUAUCAGCUUGUUGGUGGAGUAAUGGCCUACCAAGGCGACGACGGGUAGCCGGCCUGAGAGGGCGACCGGCCACACUGGGACUGAGACACGGCCCAGACUCCUACGGGAGGCAGCAGUGGGGAAUAUUGCACAAUAGGCGAAAGCCUGAUGCAGCGACGCCGCGUGAGGGAUGACGGCCUUCGGGGUUGUAAACCUCUUUCGCAGGGAGAAGCAGAGUGACGUUGACGGGUACCUGCAGAAGAAGCCCUUUGCAUAACUACGUGCCAGCAGCCGCGGUAAUACGUAGGGCGCAAGCGUUGUCCGGAAUUAUUGGGCGUAAAGAGCUCGUAGGCGGCUUGUUGCGUCGGAUGUGAAAGCCCGGGGCUUAACCCCGGGUCUGCAUUCGAUACGGGCAGGCUAGAGUGUGGUAGGGGAGAUCGGAAUUCCUGGUGUAGCGGUGAAAUGCGCAGAUAUCAGGAGGAACACCGGUGGCGAAGGCGGAUCUCUGGGCCAUUACUGACGCUG